CAUUUACGAAAAUGAUGUAAGCGACACUGCCGAAAUUUGUAUUUUUAUGCAAAUUAGUUCAUAAAUACCAACAGCAUCUGCACCCAUAAUAUUAAAUUUUAAUUGUAUGUAUAUUUUUACGGAAAUAUUGGCCUGUUAUUUAUAACGUAAGCGACACGCGACUUUGUUGGUGGCCGCAAAAAUAAAAUUAUCGCAAUGUCACUUGUGCCUUACAGUGAUAGUGAAAGCGAGACAGAUAUAGAUCCCGUUCCAAUUAAAGAAGAGAUUUACGUUGGAAAGCGGAGUUACAAAAAGCGAAAGGCAGACAACGGAACUCCAAAAAUUCAAAUUGCAAGAUCUGCCCAAAUGAAUCCCUGUUAUAAUAAGAAAUGCGGUAAUAAUUGUUCCAAGUUUAGUGAAGAAGAUCGGCAAGCCCUGAAUGAACACUUUUGGAGAAUGAGUAAAAGUCAACAAAAGACUUGGUUGGCCUAUUGUAUUGUGGAAAAGGACGUGAAGAGAAGGAGAGUGCAAAACAGUAGACGACAGUUAACUUACGAGUAUUUCAUAAAUUUUGGCGGAAAGAAUUUCAAAGUUUGCCAACAAUUUAUUUUAAAAACCUUAAGUAUUUCACAACGAAUGAUGAGGAGCAUUGUUCUGAAUUCGAGGACAACAAAUGCUAAAAAGCAAAAGAAAAUUGCGCAUAACAAAUCAGAUGAAGGAAAAGUAACGAUUUUGAAAAAUUAUAUCGAGGCAUUACCAGCUGUGCCAUCGCACUGCUCCCACAAUAAUAGCAAUCAAUUAUAUUUGCCCGAAGAAUUCGGCAACGUUUCGGCUUUAUAUAAAUGUUAUAUUCAAAAUUUAAAAGAUCGAGAACUAUUGGACUCUUCACUGUCUUUACAAGUAUUUCGCAAAAUUUUCAAAAACGAUUUCAACAUUGGAUUUCAUUCGCCAAAAAUGAACAGAUGCAAUCAAUGCGAUCAAGCUAAGGACACCGUUAUUGAUUUGGAAGAAUUUAGGGACCACAUAAUAGAUAAA
Long non-coding RNA from Drosophila innubila, 1014 nucleotides. RefSeq lists it as uncharacterized. The transcript has 2 exons. The record is from RefSeq and is a predicted model, not a curated record. Lineage: Eukaryota; Metazoa; Arthropoda; Insecta; Diptera; Drosophilidae.